CAGGGAGAAUGAGAAUAGAAGAGAAAGGAAAAGAAGAUCAAAACUUGUAAUUCCACCAUGGCCGAGAAUCAACAAGCUCUGACACCAUUGUUACGUGAUUUUCCAACCACAGGAACACAAUAAUAGGAAGAACGAAGAAUAAAAGGAGAAUCAAUAGAAUUCAAAGAGAGAGAGACACUUCUUCAUUGAUCUAUUAUCCAAGAUACAUCAUGCGAAUAUUCUUUCAUUAUUUAUACAACUGGUAGCUAUAGAAAAGUAGCUAAAGAAGAAUGAUGAAUGCUCUGCUUCUUCCCAUAUUCUACGCUACAGCUGACAUGCUUCUUCUUUGCAUCGGUGAAUAGUAAGACAGCUCAAAACCAUUUUAUUAACAGCAUAUUCCCGUGUCACCAGCCAAAUUCUUUCUUCCAUUAUCAUUCUCAAGUAUUUCAGCGUUGGGUAUCUGUGAGAGUUGUGACCUUUGAAAGAAACUUGUUUCGCGGUUCGGUAUUGUACGAGGCGAUGUGAAAACAAAAGGAGAAUUGACUCCUAAGAAUCCUUGAGCCACAUGUGCAGCUUCCAGAGGCUUUAUUGGAGAUAAAUUGCUUAUGUAAUGUGAAAAAGGAGAUUCCUGAGAACAAAGGAAAAGUGAUGAACACAAUUUCACCAUUGUUUAAGGUGUACAUGAAAAAGCUUCUAUCGUGUAGAAUCUAUGCUUGUCGAAGGUUUACGGCCAAAACUGGCAUUCUAAAAUUGAUAACUAACUGCCAAACCUUUUGGUGGUUGCUCGAUUAAAAUAUAAAAACCUCCAAUGGAGUGCAUGGGCACCAGUGAAUGCAAGAAAAAUGAAGAGAAAAACAAAUUCUCUCCCUUCUUCGAUUCUCCUCUCACUUGCAGUAUGAUUCUUUGUGAAAUUUUCUGCAUUGCCGAAGUUUUAGGCUGUGGAAAGAAGGGCAAUUUCCGCUUUGUGAUUUCGUCCUUCAACUAGUAUGGUUCAUAACUCAAUUCAGUAUGUUUUUGGUUUAAAGCUUCCACAAUUUCGACUUCCAACAUUUGCCAAUCCCGAUUACCUACUCACAAAAUCUCGAUGGAAGGGAAACAAAAGUAAGAAGUCACAUUUUACCAGACAGCAGAAAAAUAAAAGCCUUCAUAGGCAUUUCUUUUCAUUUGGGUUUAGGUAGCUUCAGAGGUGGAUAGUAAAAGAGGGUUCGAUUGACCCUCGUUUUUUUGAAUUAGUCAUAAGUAUUUAUAUAUUUGUUUAAUUGACCUUAUAAAUUUAGGUGUUAGUUGAAUACUCUUUUUUAAUAAUAAGAAAUCAAUUGAUCCUGUAUAUUUAACAAAUUAUCAUAUGUACAUAGUACACCAUGUGCACUUUCAACUACAAAGAUACAAAGAUGAGAGUCUCAUCUUUUUAAGAGUUAACUAGAUAUGUAUGAAUAUUCAAUCUACUUACACUGAAUAAAAUUUUUUUUCUUGAUCCGCCAUAAAGAAGAACCUUGAAUUGCUACAAACUUGAACAAAAGCUCAUGCACUCUUUGAUAUAUAAAGCACAUUUCAGAUCCACCAUUUUAAGGCAUCCCUCCAAAACCAAUGCAAAUGCGAAUGAUCAACCAAUCCUAAUUUAGAUUCCACCCCAGCAACAAAGUUGGAAAAACAUCAGACGCAUCAACUAUACAAAAUCUAGCACACCACCAAAAGCAAGUCAGAUUCCACCCCACCAACAAAGUUGGAAAAGCAUCAGGCACUGAUCAACAACUGCUCAACAAAGGCAAGUUUGCUUAGUUAAAAGAUAUGUACAAGCUCAACAAAAUCCUAGUGACCCACUUGCACCAAAUCCUAACCACAUUGAGAAAUAAAAUAAAUAAAAUUUUCCACAAACUAUCCCUAAAUCCAAGCCACCAAAGCUUAAAUCCAUCAAACAAGUUGGGAAAAAAAGGAGAUUUAAAAACAAUCGAUGAUAAACAAAAUUCUCCAGCAAAUAAUGAAAAUAAUAGAAAAAUCCAAGUCCAAACAUAGAGAAGAAAAAUUAAAACCCAAAAUUGAAGUAAAAUAAUAAUUGAAAAUGCGAAUACUUGAACAGGAGAGGAAUCGGAAAAAGUAGCGGCAAUGACAUUGGCGGUGGUGGAGGUGGCAGUAUUAGCAGAUUGAGGUGAACCCAUGGACUGAUACCCUAAUUAUUUUAACCCUACAAGCCACUCUUUGCAUC
Molecule: unclassified non-coding RNA, 2182 nt
Filed under: Hevea brasiliensis (rubber tree)
Lineage: Eukaryota; Viridiplantae; Streptophyta; Magnoliopsida; Malpighiales; Euphorbiaceae
Source: RNAcentral